This 68-nucleotide transfer RNA is filed under the name Amblygobius phalaena (banded goby). Its description in RNAcentral is "tRNA-Ser". Lineage: Eukaryota; Metazoa; Chordata; Actinopteri; Gobiiformes; Gobiidae. The record is from RNAcentral.
GAGGGAGGCUUGCCAACAACGGAGGCUGCUACCCUCCGUACCCUCGGUUGAAUUCCGAUGCUUCCUCG